GGGGAUUUAGCUCAGCGGUAGAGCGCUUGCCUAGCAAACGGGAGGCCCUGGGUUCGGUCCCCAGCUCCG
Molecule: transfer RNA, 69 nt
Filed under: Rattus norvegicus (Norway rat)
Lineage: Eukaryota; Metazoa; Chordata; Mammalia; Rodentia; Muridae
Rfam family: tRNA
About the family: Transfer RNA (tRNA) molecules are approximately 80 nucleotides in length. Their secondary structure includes four short double-helical elements and three loops (D, anti-codon, and T loops).
Source: Rfam by way of RNAcentral